RNAcentral lists this ribosomal RNA (440 nucleotides) under uncultured bacterium. RNAcentral's name for it is "partial 16S ribosomal RNA". It matches the Rfam family "Bacterial small subunit ribosomal RNA", at positions 338 to 795 of the family's 1533-position model. The record is from RNAcentral.
CCUACGGGUGGCAGCAGUGGGGAAUAUUGCACAAUGGGGGAAACCCUGAUGCAGCGACGCCGCGUGAGUGAAGAAGUCUCUCGGUACGUAAAGCUCUAUCAGCAGGGAAGAAAAUGACGGUACCUGACUAAGCAGCCCCGGCUAACUCCGUGCCAGCAGCCGCGGUACUACGUAGGGGGCAAGCGUUAUCCGGAUUUACUGGGUGUAAAGGGAGCGUAGACGGCAGAACAAGUCUGGGGUGAAAUCCCGGGGCUUAACCCCGGAACUGCUUUGGAAACUGUGCGGCUGGAGUGCAGGAGGGGUAAGCGGAAUUAGUAGUGUAGCGGUGAAAUGCGUAGAUAUUAGGAAGAACACCGGUGGCGAAGGCAGCUUACUGGACUGUAACUGACGUUGAGGCUCGAAAGCGUGGGGAGCAAACAGGAUUAGAUACCCCUGUAGUC